UCUGGUUGAUCCUGCCAGUAGUCAUAUGCUUGUCUCAAAGAUUAAGCCAUGCAUGUCUAAGUAUAAGCAAUUUAAACAGUGAAACUGCGAAUGGCUCAUUAAAUCAGUUAUCGUUUAUUUGAUAGUUCCUUUACUACAUGGUAUAACUGUGGUAAUUCUAGAGCUAAUACAUGCUUAAAAUCUCGACCCUUUGGAAGAGAUGUAUUUAUUAGAUAAAAAAUCAAUGUCUUCGGACUCUUUGAUGAUUCAUAAUAACUUUUCGAAUCGCAUGGCCUUGUGCUGGCGAUGGUUCAUUCAAAUUUCUGCCCUAUCAACUUUCGAUGGUAGGAUAGUGGCCUACCAUGGUUUCAACGGGUAACGGGGAAUAAGGGUUCGAUUCCGGAGAGGGAGCCUGAGAAACGGCUACCACAUCCAAGGAAGGCAGCAGGCGCGCAAAUUACCCAAUCCUAAUUCAGGGAGGUAGUGACAAUAAAUAACGAUACAGGGCCCAUUCGGGUCUUGUAAUUGGAAUGAGUACAAUGUAAAUACCUUAACGAGGAACAAUUGGAGGGCAAGUCUGGUA
RNAcentral lists this ribosomal RNA (562 nucleotides) under uncultured eukaryote. RNAcentral describes it as "SSU rRNA". It matches the Rfam family "Eukaryotic small subunit ribosomal RNA", at positions 1 to 566 of the family's 1831-position model. The record is from RNAcentral.